CCCUUAGAUGUUCUGGGCCGCACGCGCGCUACACUGAUGCAUUCAACAAGCCUAGCCUUGACCGAGAGGUCCGGGCAAUCUUUGAAACUGCAUCGUGAUGGGGCUAGAUUAUUGCAAUUAUUAAUCUUCAACGAGGAAUGCCUAGUAAGCGUGAUUCAUCAAAUCGCGUUGAUUACGUCCCUGCCCUUUGUACACACCGCCCGUCGCUCCUACCGAUUGAAUGUGUUGGUGAGGAGCUCGGAUUGGCAGCAGUUGGUGGUUCGCCACCGGCUAUUGCUGAGAAGUCCUCCAAACCGCCCCAUUUAGAGGAAGGAGAAGUCGUAACA
This 326-nucleotide ribosomal RNA is filed under the name uncultured eukaryote. RNAcentral's name for it is "partial 18S ribosomal RNA". It matches the Rfam family "Eukaryotic small subunit ribosomal RNA", at positions 1470 to 1796 of the family's 1831-position model. The record is from RNAcentral.